AUAAUAAUUAGUCUUUUAAAUGAAGGCUGGAAUGAAUGAUUGGACGAGGUAAAUUCUGUCUCAUUAAAAUUAAGAUUUAAAUUUAAUUUUUAAGUUAAAAAGCUUAAAUAUUAUUAAAGGACGAGACGACCCUAUAGAGCUUUAUAAUAAAUUAUUAAUAAUUUUUAAUUUUAUUUUAUUAAUUUAAUAUUAUUUUAUUGGGGCGAUAGGAAAAUUUAUUAAACUUUUUUAAUUUUAUUACAUUUAUUUAUGAAUUUUUGAUCCUAAA
Molecule: ribosomal RNA, 268 nt
Filed under: Arge nigripes
Lineage: Eukaryota; Metazoa; Arthropoda; Insecta; Hymenoptera; Argidae
Description: partial large subunit ribosomal RNA
Source: RNAcentral